GAGGAGUGGGGCGGCCGCAGGGUCAGACAGACCUCCCCCUCCUCCCUUACAAGAGAUAUGUAAGGAUUGAUAAUGUUCCAUCAGGAACUCAUGUUUGUGAUAUAAAAAGUGAGCCUGAGAUCCUGCACCUGUGGUCCUCGGGCAGCCCGGGCGAGCACGGGAGAACCCGGAGCCCACCUGUGCCUGCCCCGAGCUGCAGCCCCACCUGCAUGCGCGUGUCUGGGAGCGGCUUCCGGGAACCGGGCAGCCACCGUGGUGCAGGCGCGCGCCUAGGGGCUUUGCGGGGUUCCCUCAGUCUGAGAGCGCAGAGGCUGCGAGUGUUGCUGUUGAAGGCUGUGGUGGACCUGGCUGGAUCGCGGAUUCUGGGCUAGAAAGCAGAUUUGGGAUCGCAGAUUGGGGGUUGGCGCCAGGUGGGGGUGGGAGGUGCCAUGGCUCAGCAGCUAGUUGUUGGGGAUCUGAGAAGAAGUCACCACCUUGAAGAAGUUCCUCGGCUUCGGGAGCCAGAGACCAAGGCAGAGCAGAACCUCAGGUCCUGGGCUCCAUAGACCCCGUCUACACCGCUCUGGGCACCGAAUCCGGGACACGGAACCGCGGAAGAUCCACAGGGCGCUGUCAGGGGCGACGCCGCGGAGGUGGAGCUGCCUGGCGUGCAGGAGCGGAGACCUGGACGCCUGGGACAAGCCUCACAGAGCAGUCCUCAUGCUUCCUGUACAUUAUGGCUCAUCGGAUAUUUUCAAUACUUUUCUUCAGCAAAAUAUUAAUGUCUUUACUCAAGUUAUGCAUGUAUGAGAUGCAGAAGAUUAUGCUUAUCAUGGUUGACGAGGUGUUUGUAUUAAAAGGCCAGUUAAUACUAAAUUGAUGUUUAAAAUAAUGGCAAUCAUUGAAUCUUACAGAUUAGGUGAGAGUUCAUAGUUUGGUUCAGGUAGUUUGAAAUAGCAGGAGUUAGUCCACUUUUUAGCUAGAAGUCAAGCCGAAGGCUAGAUUAGUUAGAAGUAGAAUGCAAGUAUGCCUAGGGAUGUCAAUGUGGUUCAUUUUAUUCUAAGUGUAAUCCCAUGCAUCAGAUAAAAAUGAAGCCACAUAUUUGACUUCUUUUGUCUUCAUUUCUUUCUUCUUUUUUUUUUUUUUCUUUCUUUUUUUUUUGAGGCAGGGUCUCACUAUCUUGACUAGGCUAGUCUUGAACUCCUGAGCAUAAGUAAUCCUCCUGCCUUGGCGUCUCAAAGUGCUAGCUACCAUGCCUGGCCUGACUUUUCGAAUGAGUUAUUGGGUCUUGAAAUGUUCAAUUUAGCAGAAAAUUUUGUAUUGUCCCCUGGGGCUAUCUCCUGUGUCUUCCUUCUUUGAAUUUUCCAAGAAGCUAAGGUGUUUCCUAAGUCCAAGGAAGGCAAUCUUUCUUUACAAGUCAGAAGGGGGAGAAGAGACCAUUCUAAUUAUUCUGUUGUUUCCAUGGAUUCACUUCUGUAUUGUUGCCAUUGUAACUGGUCCUGCAAUCUGAUAAUCAUUGACUUUUGCCACCAGGAUGCACUCACUGAUUCAGACCCCUCAGUUUUCAUGGUGAUUCACACAUAGUGUUCAAAGCUACGGUGUUUAUUGUUUAUGUACUUACGCUCAGCCAUUGUUCUCAGCACCCUGCUCUGGGAGCUGGGCCUCCUAGCUUUAUCCACACAAAUAGUGAGCAAAUUGAUGCUUCCCCUACACUAAAAACAUUAUUUGGAGCCCACAUCUUAGCUAGACUUAUUAGCCUAGGCCUUCAUGGUAAGUUAUCCUUUGAGACCUCUGUUGGUCUUUUCUCUAAUAAAUAUUAGUUGAGAUUGUUCCCACCAGUCAGAGAUGUUCAAAUAAUGUUGCAGGAAGAGAUUAGCAUUCCCUUUCCCUUUUGCUAUCAGAUUUGUAUCUUGAGGUUUUUUUUAUAUCCUGUGCAGCAGCUUUGAUUAGACAGCAGAAGGUUCCAUGUUAUCUUUCCACAGAGCAAUGGGAACCAACUUGUAGUUGGCCCCUCAAGUAAUCCAUUUCUACAGUAGUACAAAUCUCCCAGGCAGUAGCACAUCUACCUCAAGUUUCAAGUAUAUUUUAAAGUUCCACUUCACAGGAAACCAUUCGAUAACAUUCUCUGAAUCUCAAGUAGGUGAGUUGGAUUGAACAGAGCUAAGCUUCAUCUAUGACUCAUGAGUGUCCAUGUAUAAAACAGGGCUUCGUACUUGUUUCGGCAGUGCAUACUUUAAAAUUAGAUCAAUAGAGAGCAGAUAAGCAUAAGCAUGGCUGCUGCCUGAGGAUGGCUCACAAAUUCAUAAAGCAUUCCAUAUUUUGCAUUGCCCCUGAAAAGUCAUUUGACUAUUUCUUGAUCAGCUCCAAGGAAGCAGUGUGAGUCAAACCAAAACAGGAGAUACCCAAUAUUAAAAUUGUGAUUAUCACUAUAAAACUAUUGAUGUACGUGAAGUAUGAAGUGAGAACAGGGCUGAGUAACAUAUGGGAUGUUACGUGAAAAUAUGUUGUUAGUCCAUGUCUUGGAAAUGGGAAAAUGUCAACUUGCAUUUCCUUCAUAAACCUUAAAAACAAUAAAAGCAGGGUUUUUCUCGUGUGUUAGUUGGAGAGGACCAUGGCAAUCCAGCAUCCUGGCACGGAUGCGCUGGCUCAGAGUUUGAAGAGGUAGAGAGGGAGUGGUGGUUGUCCAAGCCAGGUUUUGACUUGGCUUUAAUUUGUCUGUUAAUUUUCUGCUCUUGGUGUGAUUGACAAGCUCAGUAAUAGGGCACAAUUAUGUUAUCUAUUCUAAUGAGAUAACAUAUUCAUAUAUAAAUUUAGUUAUAAGUUGUGAAUUAGCUAAAAUACCCUGAAUUACAAGCCACAAUAAAUAGAGCUAAUAAACAAAAUUAGCACUUAAUAACAUUUUAUGAAAACUGCAACAUUUGAAUAUUAGAACCUAUGGAAAAACACACAUCAAGCUUCAUUUGGGACUCCAAAAUAGUUUCAGCCAUAAAGUUCAAGAAUAAGUUAUUCCAUUGCUCUCCUAUUUCUCUGGACAUUUAAGCAUGGAAUCUCAUUACAUCUUCCUAACAACCUAGUGAAGUAAGGUAGCAAAAUCCUUAUUUUUUAGAAGAAACCACGGAGCCUAAGAGAAGCAACUUGUCUGAACACAAAUACCUAUUGGUUACAGAGCAAGGACCUGUUCUGAGUGCAGGACACUUUGCGUGAUGUCCAGCUGACUAUAGUUAAUUUACUGAGCUGUGCUCCCUUCAUUUAUGAGUACUUCACUUUUUUUUAAUUAAAAGGUUAAUAAACUUGUAAAGCUUAAAAUUUUGAAGUGUAUGGGACAGAAAUUAAAUUCUGGUAUUAGUGUUGAUAUUGCAUGAAAUGGUUUAAGAAUUUAAUAUACUUGGUAAAUAUUUUUUAUUUUAGUAUUAAAAAAGCAAUUUUAUUUAUUACUUUUUUAUACUUAGAAUUUGACACCAAAUUUUGAAACAUAAAAAGAAGAUACUUCAAGGCAAGUAAGAUUUCUGAUAGUGAAUUUUUCAUUUAUCUUGUUGAUACUACUCUUGAUAAAAAAGAAAGUAAGAUGUAAGAUUAAGGUAAUUUUAAUGGAAAAUGACCAGUUUUAAAAUAUGUGGAAAUUGCAAGUGUAUAUAUGUAUAUACAUAUAUGUAAAUUAAUUUUCAAAAUUUAACUUCUUUAGUUUAAAAUUCAGAGUUAUUUAAGAAGGAAGUUGUAUCUAAUUUAUAA
Callithrix jacchus (white-tufted-ear marmoset) is the source of this 3708-nucleotide long non-coding RNA. The record is from Ensembl. NCBI's taxonomy places the organism in Eukaryota, Metazoa, Chordata, Mammalia, Primates, Cebidae.